This 335-nucleotide unclassified non-coding RNA is filed under the name soil metagenome. Its description in RNAcentral is "partial contains 5.8S ribosomal RNA, internal transcribed spacer 2, and large subunit ribosomal RNA". The stretch from base 2 to 119 matches the Rfam family "5.8S ribosomal RNA", at positions 37 to 154 of the family's 154-position model. The record is from RNAcentral.
GUGAAGAACGUAGCGAAAUGCGAUAAGUAAUGUGAAUUGCAGAAUUCAGUGAAUCAUCGAAUCUUUGAACGCACAUUGCGCCCGCCAGUAUUCUGGCGGGCAUGCCUGUUCGAGCGUCAUUUCAACCAUCAAGCCCCCGGCUUGUGUUGGGGACCUGCGGCUGCCGCAGGCCCUGAAAACCAGUGGCGGGCUCGCUAGUCACUCCGAGCGUAGUAAUACAUCUCGCUCAGGGCGUGCUGCGGGUUCCGGCCGUUAAAAAAGCCUUAUUUACCCAAGGUUGACCUCGGAUCAGGUAGGAAGACCCGCUGAACUUAAGCAUAUCAAUAAGCGGAGGA